GGAGAUGGGUGUAUGGAAGAGGAUGAUGAGACAAUGUGAGGAAAUUGAACACGACUGUAAAAAAAAUAUAAAAAAAAUCUUUAUAGGUAAUUGGAAGCCCAUUGCUUUUACAGUGGACGACAGUGACCUCUUGGUUUGAGAUUGAGGGAAGAAGAGAAUGUUUGCUGUGUACUUUACAGAUGGACCCUAGUCCUAUUGGAAGUAUGGCUCAGUGUGUAUGGACUUGAUGAAACGUCUAAUUCAAAUAGACAAUGUCCUGCUGUAGCUAAAAGUAAAUAUUCACAAAGGUAAAGUCAAUGUGUAUCUAUCUAAAAAUAUCUAUGAUGUAUAAUCGUGGCACAAUCACCAUCACGUACACCAGGGCUUAGUGGCAACACAAAUCGUCCAGGUGUUCCCAGUUGACACGUGGUGAUAAAACUAUACAGGCAUGACUAAUACACAGACCUUUGCAGAGGAGAAUAGGGGUUAGCCUGCCCAGAUGGAGGCCCUCAUUAACACCUAGCCUAACGACAUUCUGUUUCCUCUCAGAGAAAAGAAAUCCAGGAAAUCCUUUGGUAACUAUGUUGGCGCCCGACGUGGUUCUCUCCAGAGUUCUAGGCCUUGAAAUAGAUUAGAGACAGCCAUUUGCUCUCAGCUCUUUCAAAAAACACGUCAAGAACUGAUAGAGGAAGACGGAGCUACAGAGAGUGUGAAGAAAGGUGUCACAUUGUCGUAAGGGUCUGCUCGUUCAUCACUGGCCCCAUCCCGAGGAAUCGUCGCAGAGUGAAUAGUCCUUGAUAGAACCAGAUUGAUGUCGUCGCAAUUUACUUGACAGCAAGUUGAUUGUGUCACCAGCCUUCUUAAGCGCCCUCUUUCAUCCUGCCAAUCCAUCCAAUCCACACAAGGGGCCUCAUCUUUCAAAGGCCCCUCUGAAUGCGAUAAGCAAGGGAGAUCAGAGUGAGGUGCCUGCCUGCUCACAGAUGUGCUUCAAACGACGACGGGGGGGAAGGAAGGAACGUCACGCUCUGCGACGCUAUCUCUACAUCUCCACCCGCAUCUGCUGCUACCAACCAACAUCUCUCUAACCUCCCUCACCCCCCCCCCAUCCAUCCCACAUUUGUCAUGUGUGCCAUAUAGCCUUGACGUAGUUGGAAGGAACAAAGCAUGAGACAAAAGUUCCUUGCGGAUCCAAAAAU
Oncorhynchus kisutch (coho salmon) is the source of this 1175-nucleotide long non-coding RNA. NCBI's taxonomy places the organism in Eukaryota, Metazoa, Chordata, Actinopteri, Salmoniformes, Salmonidae. The record is from Ensembl.